CCUUCGAUAGCUCAGCUGGUACAGCGGAGGACUGUAGAUCCUUAGGUCGCUGGUUCGAUUCCAGCUCGAAGGA
Molecule: transfer RNA, 73 nt
Filed under: Symphalangus syndactylus (siamang)
Lineage: Eukaryota; Metazoa; Chordata; Mammalia; Primates; Hylobatidae
Also listed under: 1 other name
Description: tRNA-Tyr (GTA) (tRNA-Tyr-GTA-6-1)
Rfam family: tRNA
About the family: Transfer RNA (tRNA) molecules are approximately 80 nucleotides in length.
Source: RNAcentral